Long non-coding RNA from Betta splendens (Siamese fighting fish), 2412 nucleotides. RefSeq lists it as uncharacterized. NCBI's taxonomy places the organism in Eukaryota, Metazoa, Chordata, Actinopteri, Anabantiformes, Osphronemidae. The transcript is spliced from 2 exons. The record is from RefSeq and is a predicted model, not a curated record.
CACACACACACACACCACAUACCACACACACACAUGUCAUGCCAAGAGCAAAUGCUCCCAUUGUUUCUGCUCUUUGUCCUAAUGCAGAACUGAGCGCGAUGAGGGUAAAUCCGGAUCUGGACUCCUUUCCCACCAUCAGCAGAAGAACCGAAGGAGAAGAAGCGCCGACCAACAACCAGAACAGGGUGGAAGCUCUGAUACCACAGCAGCUGGAGGACACAGACCACAGCAUGGACGCCUCAGCGACUCCCACAAUGUCUGCAGCCAUCAAGUUCUGGGCUCAUCAGAUGAACCAGCUACUACAAGCCCUGCACCAGCAGGAAAGGACUGUCUCUGAAGCUUCAGAGGCCGUGAAACUGUCAUACACGCAUGUGUGUCUGACACAGACACCUGCUUAUGACAAUCAGCAAAGGAAAACAAGGACAGAGCAACAGCAGAGUGAGAAGACGUGCUCUGACACAGACACUGGUUGAAACAACAGGAGAGACUUCAGACGUGAUCGGCCCAAAAGAGCUGCAUCUGAGGAUCCAGGAAACGUCUGUCAUCGAGGAACAACUGUCCCAUUGAAAGGCUUCACCCACUGGCGCUCACAUCAGACUGAUGGUUGGGGAAGGAGGAAGGUGACGGUUCCUUUUCACGUGACGUAGAAGACGUUCCACACGUCCCUCUGUGAAAACAUGAUGGAGACAGAUGCAGGACGUGGGUCCUUUCGUGAACAGAUGUCAACGGGGUGGAGACUGGUGAACGACUUCUGACCCCAUGUGACGUAUUCACCUACUUUGCAUACUUUUAGAAAACAUUUUUUUUAUUCUGCCCGUCAUGUGCAGCAAACAGUGAACUUGGUACCUCCACAUUCUAAUGACACACUACAUGUUUUUAUUUUCAUUUUUCAGAGGACGCUCUGAGCCAACACUCAGCCUUACAGGAAGCCCUGCUUCCCUGUGGCUCACACACAGACAUGAUGUAGAUUUGAUCAGAGGAUGUGAACCAGUGGUCAUCACACUUAAAUCUGACCACAGACCAUGUAAACAACAACACCCUCUUGAAAGAAGCCAUAGAUGGAGUUACUGCAGACACCACUAAGCUACUGAAACAUUGGAUGCUACAGGCCACAAAGAGCCUGUCUAAAUUACAGUUAGUUCAGACAAAGGUUAUUUUUCUGGGUCAUUGUAAUUACAGCUGAUGGCAAAUCCAUCUCACCCAACAGAGUUGAAGCAAUUUGAAACCUGCCUAAACCGUGCACGUAUAAACAGCUUAUGUCUUUUCUAGGUCUUUGUUCUUAUUGUAGGACUUUCGUUCCUAACUUUACCUUCUCUGAGGCCCCACUCAGGGUUCUGAUGCAGACGUCUUCAUUGUCCACUUCUUGUCUCACGUGGACGUCUGAGGCUGAACAACGUUCGCUGACCUCAAGCUUGCUCUUCAGUCGGCUCCUACUUUGGGUCUCCCUGAUCUGACCCUACGCGACCUUUCACUCAAACGGUGGAUGAGAAAUCAGGUUGUACGACUUCUGUUCUUUUGUCCUUAUACUUUGAUUCUUUUGGAAUAGAUCACAUCUUUCUACAGCCCGAUGGCUUAGAUGCAACACCACCUUGCUCAACAUGCUGAACGUUACUAUCAAGAGGUCGUCUUGAAGUCUGGCACUUUGCUAAGACACUACUCUGCUCAGGCUGCAGAGUUGAUCGCGUUGACUGAAGCUAGUAAACUAGCAGAAGGAAAGUCUGUCACCAUCUACACAGACUCCACAGAUGCUUGUGACACUUUGGGUUUCUGUGGAAGCAUAGGAAGCUUUAGAAGUCUGAUUGCAAACCUAUCUCACAUCAUGAUUAGGUUCUGCUUUGCUGGACGCUGUCCUGCUGCCUACAGCUAAUGCUGUUUGUAACCGUCCCACUCACAUCAUCAGUGACAACUUUGUUUCUGCCGACAUGCAGCUGCAUACGCUGCUGCGAAGGUCGCUGCCCAACAACCCCUCCCUCUCCUGAUCCUUGUUUCCUCUCCUGAUCCUUGUUCCCUCUCUCCAACUCUCUCUAUCCUUUCCUUCCUCUCUCCCUGUGCUUUAAACAUUUUUUACCUCACAGAAACGCAGACUCUGGCAGACGAAUGGUUCCACCUGUAGCCAUGGAGUCUGGUUUAGGCCUGAUGGCAGCCGUGCCGCCCAAACACUUUUUUUCCCCACAAUUCAGAUUUCCCAACAGUUGAAAACAGGCGACAGGACCAUUACACCAUCCAACCAGGAGACUGGGCGAUCGUUAAGGAGUUCAGGAGGAAGCACUGGGACUCCAAACGGUGGCGAGGCCCCUUCCAGGUCCUUCUGACGACCAACACGGCUGUAAAGAUCGCAGAGAGAGCGAUUUGGAUCCACUCCAUCCAGGAAGGUCCCGGAUCCGACAGACGACCCUCCAUCUACAUCUCACG